GCACCCAUGGCUCAACUGGAUAGAGCGUCUGACUACGAAUCAGAAGGUUGGGAGUUCAAGUCUUCCUGGGUGCGCCA
RNAcentral lists this transfer RNA (77 nucleotides) under Gottschalkia acidurici 9a. RNAcentral's name for it is "tRNA-Arg". It matches the Rfam family "tRNA". Rfam says of the family: Transfer RNA (tRNA) molecules are approximately 80 nucleotides in length. Their secondary structure includes four short double-helical elements and three loops (D, anti-codon, and T loops). Further hydrogen bonds mediate the characteristic L-shaped molecular structure. tRNAs have two regions of fundamental functional importance: the anti-codon, which is responsible for specific mRNA codon recognition, and the 3' end, to which the tRNAs corresponding amino acid is attached (by aminoacyl-tRNA synthetases). tRNAs cope with the degeneracy of the genetic code in two manners: having more than one tRNA (with a specific anti-codon) for a particular amino acid; and 'wobble' base-pairing, i.e. permitting non-standard base-pairing at the 3rd anti-codon position. Lineage: Bacteria; Bacillati; Bacillota; Tissierellia; Tissierellales; Gottschalkiaceae. The record is from RNAcentral.